AUGGGGAUACUCUUCUGGAGAGCCCAGACGACAUCUCUUCCCAUAUUUACUCCUUUUAUAAGGAGCUUUUCUCAGCUGAGCCAUGCGGAGGCGUCUCCCUUUGCGCUGACUUUUGGUCGCUUGCUGACCAGGUCUCCGAUGCGGAGAAUGCGGAACUUACUCUCCCAUUCUCCCCUGAGGAAGUGGGCCGGGUGGUUGCUUCUAUGA
Molecule: ribosomal RNA, 207 nt
Filed under: Triticum aestivum (bread wheat)
Lineage: Eukaryota; Viridiplantae; Streptophyta; Magnoliopsida; Poales; Poaceae
Description: partial small subunit ribosomal RNA
Source: RNAcentral